RNAcentral lists this ribosomal RNA (636 nucleotides) under uncultured bacterium. Its description in RNAcentral is "partial 16S ribosomal RNA". It matches the Rfam family "Bacterial small subunit ribosomal RNA", at positions 551 to 1185 of the family's 1533-position model. The record is from RNAcentral.
UUAUUGGGCGUAAAGAGCUCGUAGGCGGUUUGUCGCGUCUGGUGUGAAACCUCAAGGGUCAACCUUGAGCUUGCAUCGGGUUCCGGGCAGACUAGAGUGUGGUAGGGGCGCCCCCCGCCCCCCCCGGUAGCGGUGGAAUGCGCAGAUUGGGGGGGGAAAAAAACCAGCGAAGGUUUUUUUCCCCUGGCCCCACCUGACGCUGAGGAGCGAAAGCAUGAGAGAGCGAACAGGAUUAGAUACCCUGGUAGUCCAUGCCGUAAACGUUGGGCACUAGGUGUGGGGCUCAUUCCACGAGUUCCGCGCCGCAGCUAACGCAUUAAGUGCCCCGCCUGGGGAGUACGGCCGCAAGGCUAAAACUCAAAGGAAUUGACGGGGGCCCGCACAAGCGGCGGAGCAUGCGGAUUAAUUCGAUGCAACGCGAAGAACCUUACCAAGGCUUGACAUACACCGGAAUCGGCCAGAGAUGGUCGCGUCUUCGGACUGGUGUACAGGUGGUGCAUGGUUGUCGUCAGCUCGUGUCGUGAGAUGUUGGGUUAAGUCCCGCAACGAGCGCAACCCUCGUCCUAUGUUGCCAGCACGUCAUGGUGGGGACUCAUAGGAGACUCCGGGUCAACUCGGAGGAAGGCGGGGACGCGA